GAAAUGCGAUAAGUAAUGUGAAUUGCAGAAUUCAGUGAAUCAUCGAAUCUUUGAACGCACAUUGCGCCCGCCAGUAUUCUGGCGGGCAUGCCUGUCCGAGCGUCAUUUCAACCAUCAAGCCCCCGGCUUGUGUUGGGGACCUGCGGCUGCCGCAGGCCCUGAAAAGCAGUGGCGGGCUCGCUGUCACACCGAGCGUAGUAGCAUACAUCUCGCUCUGGGCGUGCUGCGGGUUCCGGCCGUUAAACCACCUUCGUAACCCAAGGUUGACCUCGGAUCAGGUAGGAAGACCCGCUGAACUUAAGC
This 303-nucleotide unclassified non-coding RNA is filed under the name plant metagenome. RNAcentral describes it as "partial contains 5.8S ribosomal RNA, internal transcribed spacer 2, and large subunit ribosomal RNA". The stretch from base 1 to 105 matches the Rfam family "5.8S ribosomal RNA", at positions 50 to 154 of the family's 154-position model. The record is from RNAcentral.